This 253-nucleotide ribosomal RNA is filed under the name uncultured bacterium. RNAcentral describes it as "partial 16S ribosomal RNA". It matches the Rfam family "Bacterial small subunit ribosomal RNA", at positions 524 to 776 of the family's 1533-position model. The record is from RNAcentral.
UACGUAGGGUGCAAGCGUUGUCCGGAAUCAUUGGGCGUAAAGAGCUCGUAGGCGGUCUGUUGCGUCGGCUGUGAAAACCCGGGGCUCAACUCCGGGCCUGCAGCCGAUACGGGCAGACUAGAGUUCGGCAGGGGAGACUGGAAUUCCUGGUGUAGCGGUGAAAUGCGCAGAUAUCCGAAGGAACACCGGUGGCGAAGGCGGGUCUCUGGGCCGAUACUGACGCUGAGGAGCGAAAGCGUGGGGAGCGAACAGG